This 497-nucleotide ribosomal RNA is filed under the name Trichopsis schalleri (threestripe gourami). RNAcentral's name for it is "partial 12S ribosomal RNA". It matches the Rfam family "Bacterial small subunit ribosomal RNA", at positions 801 to 1533 of the family's 1533-position model. Lineage: Eukaryota; Metazoa; Chordata; Actinopteri; Anabantiformes; Osphronemidae. The record is from RNAcentral.
UAACCAAUGAUAAACCCUUACACUUAUUAUCCGCCCGGGUACUACGAGCAUUAGCUUAAAACCCAAAGGACUUGGCGGUGCUUAAGAUCCACCUAGAGGAGCCUGUUCUAGAACCGAUAAUCCCCGUUAAACCUCACCCUUUCUUGUUUAUCCAGCCUAUAUACCGCCGUCGUCAGCUUACCCUGUGAGGGAAUUACAGUAAGCAAAAAUGGCACAGCCUAAAACGUCAGGUCGAGGUGUAGCAUAUGAAAGGGGAAGAAAUGGGCUACAUUCUCUAAUCUAGAGAAUACGAAUAAUGUAUUGAAACAUGCAUUUAAAGGAGGAUUUAGUAGUAAGAAGAAACUAGAGUGUUCUACUGAAACUGGCCCUAAAGCGCGCACACACCGCCCGUCACUCUCCCCAAACAUAAAUAUUAAUCCUUUAUUAAAACUACUUAAUUGUAAAGGGGAGGCAAGUCGUAACAUGGUAAGUGUACCGGAAGGUGUACUUGGUAAAAU